RNAcentral lists this ribosomal RNA (219 nucleotides) under Rhizophagus intraradices. RNAcentral describes it as "partial 25S large subunit ribosomal RNA". It matches the Rfam family "Eukaryotic large subunit ribosomal RNA", at positions 136 to 352 of the family's 3401-position model. Lineage: Eukaryota; Fungi; Glomeromycota; Glomeromycetes; Glomerales; Glomeraceae. The record is from RNAcentral.
GAUCGAGUUGUAAUUUGAAGAAGCGUUUUCUGCGUAUUUGAUCAGCCUAAGUCCUAUUGAAUGAGGCAUCACGGAGGGUGAUAAUCCCGUCCGGUUGAUCAUUUGCGUUUUACGAUACGCUUUCUAAGAGUCAAGUUGUUUGGGAUUGCAGCUUAAAAUGGGAGGUAAAUUUCUUCCUAAGGCUAAAGAACGGCGAGAGACCGAUAGCGAACAAGUACC